This 3292-nucleotide long non-coding RNA is filed under the name Homo sapiens (human). RNAcentral describes it as "HSALNT0193430". Lineage: Eukaryota; Metazoa; Chordata; Mammalia; Primates; Hominidae. The record is from RNAcentral.
CUGACCUUGUGAUCCACCCGCCUCGGCCUCCCAAAGUGCUGGGAUUACAGGCGUGAGCCACCGUGCCCAGCCAGGUGUUCUUUUUAAUAUCCGAACAUGUCUGCAUCAUUCUUCUGCUUAUAAGUCUCUAAGGACUUCCCUUUAGGCCAAGUCCAAGUUCCUUAGUCUGACAUGGAGGGCCCACUCCCACUGGGGCUCUCUCAGCCCUGCCUGUAGAUGGCAAAUAUUUCUUUCAGAUCUUUAAAAUGUCAGAGUCUCAGUUAAUCUUUCCUCAAUCGGACAAGAGAAGGCCUCAGAGAAAGCCCUCUUCUGCCUGCAUCAGUGCAGAUUCUCUGCAGAUGCAAAUCUCCCCCACAAAAGACAGUUCUGCAGGGUGACUUCUAUUCAUUGGCUCUCUGAACAGCCACCUCAAAAUAUGCCAAAGAAGUAUAUUUCGGGGUGAAAUAUUUUUAUUUCCUUCAGUCCUCACUUUGAAACUUGAAAAAGUUUCACAUCUGAAAAGCUAAAUUGAUAGCUUUGCAGAGAUUUGGGUGAUAGGCUGCAGAGAUAAAGAUAGGCAAAGGAGUGGAAAAAAACAAAUUGGGAUAAGCAAAAACGGGCAAAUUUAAAUAUAUCAUUCCGUGUCUUCUUGAAUCAGUCUCUUAGUCCUAAGAAUAAAUCAGUUCAGUUAAACAGCUGUGUCCCAUUCAGGAGGUGGCAUUGCAGAUGGGCUAGGCCUUUAGAGAUGACGCAGGCAAACAGACAGAUCUUUAAUAAGAGGCACAAAAUGUAAAUUUUGACCAAGGACAUAUUAUUUUGUACAACGGGGCUGAUAGCAACCUUGCAAGGAGGUCACAUGUCAUUCUGUAACUGAAAGCUAAAGAAGGAGAAUCACAACAGCAUUGGCUGAGUCCCCUAAAUUUCCAGAAAGUUGAUUAUUUUUUAGGUCAGCAAGAGGAAGGGAAUAAUCCCGUGACCAGAGAACCUAAAGAGAAUACAAAUAAGAAUGAAGAAGGUUAUAAAACACAGAAAACUUAGCAAAGACCUCUAGUGUCCUCCAAAAGAGUUGCGUGGCUGGAUGAGGGCCUUAGCUAUCUCUUAAUUCUCUUUCAUUCCACCUAACCAGGGAACCACAAGUCCUGCAUGAUAGUGAAAUGAUUGAGCUGUACCUGGAAGGUGAACAGCAGUAGAUACUCUGGUGGAAGCAUCAGGGUGUAGACAGAGCUCUUACAAGGGUGGCCUGAGCCACAGAGAGUGUGUCGUGGGUUCUGGGAGUAUAGGGAGGACAGCCUUACCUUCCCAGCCUGCUUUGAAGUUGGCUUCCUCUGCCCCUAGGCUGGAAGCUUCUUGAUGGUAAGACUGUGUCAUGUUCACCAUUGUAGCCCCAGUCCCUAUCCCUGGGCCCAGCUCAUGGUAAACAUUGAAAACAUAUUUGCUGAAUGAAUCAAUGAACCAAUGAAUGAGUGAAUGGUCUCUCAGUCUGAUGGCCAUGGUCACUGCUAAUUCUUUCUUGGUCUCAUUGCAGGUGUUUCUAGGACUAUGGGCUUGUAACCUGCUGAGCUAGGUUUCACCUGCAGAUACAAAGAAGCUGGUUCACCUGCAGAUACAGAGAAACUGGGUGGAUGGGAGGGUAGAAUCACAGGGAUGGCCUGACUCUUUCAUGUAGCACUGGCUGGGACAGUUUGAGUACAGCUGAAAAAUAUCCUCCUUCACAGGGCUGGCAGGCAGUGCCACUGCCAUUGGGAGCUGAGUUAUGACUGUUAGCCAGUGGGCCCCAUUCUCCUUAUGAAGGCCUCUCCACAUAGCUGCUCGGGUUUCCCCACAACGUGGCAUCUGUUUGAAGAAGGAAGACUCCAAGAGGUGAAGAUGGAAACUAUACAUCUCUUAAUGCCUGGCCUCAAAAGUUACACAGUCUGCCAUUUUUCAAAGCCUGUCACAGGCCAGCCCAGAUUCAAUGGGAACAGAAAUAGCCUUCCAUCUCUUGAUGGGUAGAGUGGCAAAGAAUACACAGCCAUUUUCAAUCCACCAUAAGAACAUUUGAAGAAAAAGAUGAAAAUUUCAGGUGGGACAUGUUGAGUUUGAGGUACCUGAGUGACAUCAAUGUAGAGACAUCAAGAAGUAGGCAAGUCAGCGCACAGGUCUGGUGAUCAGAGGAGAGCACUAGCUUUGAUAGACAUUUGGUCACUUGGUAGACAUAAAUAGUAGUUAGAAUUAUGCGUUAUCCAAAGAGUGUGUGAAGAGAGUGAAUGGCAGGAGACAAGAUGCAAGCUUUUAGUACAAUAGAUAUUUAGAGGUCAAGUAGAGAAAAAGUCUUCAUGAAAUGAAGACUAGGAAGCAAGACCUAGAGAAACAGAAAGAAGACAGAAGAGAAAGUGGCCAUAGAAGCCCAGCAGAGAGUUGGAGGAGACACUGUUCAAUAAUUUCAAAUGUCAUAAAGAGGUCAAGUAGGCCAGGUGCAGUGGCUCACGCCUUAAUCUCAGCACUUUGGGAGGCGAAGGCAGGUGGAUCACUUGAGCCCAGGAGUUCCAGACCAGCCUAGGCAACAUGGCGAAAUCCUGUCUCUACAAAAAAUACAAAAUUUAGCCAUGUGUGGUGAUGUGUGCCUAUGGCACUAGCUACUAGGGAGGCUGAGAUGGGAGAAUCACCCGAGCCCCAGUAGGGCAAGGCUACAGUGAGCCGUCAUUGCACCACUGCACUCCAGCCUGGGCGACAGAGUGAGACUCUAUCUAAAUAAAUAAAUAGGUCAAGUAAUAUUAGAAACAUGAAAAUGUCGACUGGUCUUGGCAAUACAGAGGUCUUUGGUGAGCUUAUGAAGGCAUUUCUAAUGUAGGAAUGAGGAUAGAGUUUUAAAUUUUUUGUUCAAGGAUGCAAAUAUUGCUGAAUGAAGCAAAAGAUUUGUUGCCUGGAAUUUAAUAUCUUUACAACUCUUUGUUCUUUUAGAGUCAUUCGGAUUCCUUUCGGUUGCUCAAAUAUAACAUUGUAUCUGCUUCUAAAUUCAUGGGCAACAAUUGUCCUCUUCUGGUUCAAAGGCACAAUAUAAUCCCAGGAAUUUUUUUGGUAUGUGCUUUGAGAUAUAAUGACUCUUUUGACUGGGCUGUUGUGUAUGAUGUUUGCAUGACUUGGGGAUUAUUCAUAGGGUCAACAGAAGGCUACCAAAAUAGCUCAGCUUAAAUCACAACCUUGGGAUAACCCUUGACUUCAGGUCUUCUUAUAACUGCAGAUUUAACACUGUUGCAUUAUCUUUACUGUUACUCUAAUGAAUUUAAAAAUUGAAUACUCUGUUAAAACUGAGGUGGCCGGCCGGGCGCGGUGG